RNAcentral lists this ribosomal RNA (988 nucleotides) under Flavobacterium sp. Its description in RNAcentral is "bacterial SSU rRNA". It matches the Rfam family "Bacterial small subunit ribosomal RNA", at positions 465 to 1467 of the family's 1533-position model. The record is from RNAcentral. Lineage: Bacteria; Pseudomonadati; Bacteroidota; Flavobacteriia; Flavobacteriales; Flavobacteriaceae.
AGUUUUGACGGUACCGUAAGAAUAAGGAUCGGCUAACUCCGUGCCAGCAGCCGCGGUAAUACGGAGGAUCCAAGCGUUAUCCGGAAUCAUUGGGUUUAAAGGGUCCGUAGGCGGUUUUAUAAGUCAGUGGUGAAAUCCGGCAGCUCAACUGUCGAACUGCCAUUGAUACUGUAGAACUUGAAUUAUUGUGAAGUAACUAGAAUAUGUAGUGUAGCGGUGAAAUGCUUAGAUAUUACAUGGAAUACCAAUUGCGAAGGCAGGUUACUAACAAUACAUUGACGCUGAUGGACGAAAGCGUGGGGAGCGAACAGGAUUAGAUACCCUGGUAGUCCACGCCGUAAACGAUGGAUACUAGCUGUUCGGAAGCAAUUCUGAGUGGCUAAGCGAAAGUGAUAAGUAUCCCACCUGGGGAGUACGAACGCAAGUUUGAAACUCAAAGGAAUUGACGGGGGCCCGCACAAGCGGUGGAGCAUGUGGUUUAAUUCGAUGAUACGCGAGGAACCUUACCAGGGCUUAAAUGUAGGAUGACAGGUUUGGAAACAGACUUUUCUUCGGACAUUCUACAAGGUGCUGCAUGGUUGUCGUCAGCUCGUGCCGUGAGGUGUCAGGUUAAGUCCUAUAACGAGCGCAACCCCUGUUGUUAGUUGCCAGCGAGUAAUGUCGGGAACUCUAGCAAGACUGCCGGUGCAAACCGUGAGGAAGGUGGGGAUGACGUCAAAUCAUCACGGCCCUUACGUCCUGGGCUACACACGUGCUACAAUGGCCGGUACAGAGAGCAGCCACCUGGUGACAGGGAGCGAAUCUAUAAAGCCGGUCACAGUUCGGAUUGGAGUCUGCAACCCGACUCCAUGAAGCUGGAAUCGCUAGUAAUCGGAUAUCAGCCAUGAUCCGGUGAAUACGUUCCCGGGCCUUGUACACACCGCCCGUCAAGCCAUGGAAGCUGGGGGUACCUGAAGUCGGUGACCGCAAGGAGCUGCCUAGGGUAAAC